RNAcentral lists this ribosomal RNA (301 nucleotides) under uncultured bacterium. RNAcentral describes it as "partial 16S ribosomal RNA". It matches the Rfam family "Bacterial small subunit ribosomal RNA", at positions 509 to 809 of the family's 1533-position model. The record is from RNAcentral.
CAGUCACCGCGGGAAUACAGAGGGUGCGAGCGUUAAUCGGAUUUACUGGGCGUAAAGCGUGCGUAGGCGGCUUCUUAAGUCGGAUGUGAAAUCCCUGAGCUUAACUUAGGAAUUGCAUUCGAUACUGGGAAGCUAGAGUAUGGGAGAGGAUGGUAGAAUUCCAGGUGUAGCGGUGAAAUGCGUAGAGAUCUGGAGGAAUACCGAUGGCGAAGGCAGCCAUCUGGCCUAAUACUGACGCUGAGGUACGAAAGCAUGGGGAGCAAACAGGAUUAGAUACCCGCGUAGUCCCUGUCUCUUAUAA